Molecule: ribosomal RNA, 250 nt
Filed under: uncultured bacterium
Lineage: Bacteria
Description: partial 16S ribosomal RNA
Rfam family: Bacterial small subunit ribosomal RNA
Source: RNAcentral
UACGGGGGGAGCAAGCGUUGUUCGGAUUUACUGGGCGUAAAGGGCGCGUAGGCGGCCAGCGCAAGUCAGUUGUGAAACCUCCGGGCUUAACUCGGAACGGUCAGCUGAUACUGCGCGGCUAGAGUGCAGAAGGGGCAACUGGAAUUCUCGGUGUAGCGGUGAAAUGCGUAGAUACCGAGAGGAACACCUGCGGCGAAGGCGGGUUGCUGGGCUGACACUGACGCUGCAGCGCGAAAGCCAGGGGAGCGAA